Molecule: long non-coding RNA, 811 nt
Organism: Hypanus sabinus (Atlantic stingray)
Lineage: Eukaryota; Metazoa; Chordata; Chondrichthyes; Myliobatiformes; Dasyatidae
Exons: 3
Source: RefSeq, a predicted model, not a curated record
UUAGAUAGGCACAUGGAAGAAAGUAAAAUGGUGGACUAUGUGGGAGGGGAGGGUUAGAUUGAUCUUGGAGUAGGUUAAAGGGUCCACACAACAUGUGUGAGGGAAAGGUCAGUACCGUGCUGAAUUGUUCUAUGUCAAAGAUAUUUUCGCUGCAUUGUUAUUCUUCAUUACUUGUAGAUCAGCAAGUCACUGCAGCAAGCACCAAGGACGUUCUGAGGGCUGGAUUACUAGGAAAGUCUGCAGUGGAAUACAUCCUAAAAAGCUCACUUUUGAAUGAUCCAAUUGAAUGAGUUACCAGCAGUGCAUUCCAUAAGACCAUAAAGGCUGAAUUAUACUUCUGCGUAUGGGCUAUGCUGUCGCCUACACGAUACUGUUUAUUGAUUGAGGAUUAUGAAGAAACCAUGAAAACUCCACUGGUGCUUAACAAUGUUACCUCCCAAAUGGAGACUCAUUGUCACGUAAUCUUCGUUCACCUAUAGCCUAUCAAUUGUAGCAUUGCUUCUUUAACCCAUCAGCUGAACAUGCACAACAUUCAAGACUGUGUGUAAGUGCUGCCAUCCAGUGGUGAAUUGUAGAUAUUGCCAGGCCUACCUUUAUGAAGUUCAAAGUUCAAUAGCACUGAGCAUCACCAUUCCUAACUUACAGUUUGGAAGCAAUAGAACAACAGUUACCUAUUUGAAGUAUCUGUCAAUUCCUGAACAAGGAUAACAAAUACUUCAGAGAACUGUUGUUCAAUUGCAAAAAUGACUGUUACAGAAAAUAUAAAUAAAGGUUGAUUCUGAAGGAACUUGAUUAAAAAGAUUGAACUGUC